CCUACGGGUGACUGCAGUGAGGAAUAUUGGUCAAUGGACGCAAGUCUGAACCAGCCAUGCCGCGUGCAGGAAGACGGCUCUAUGAGUUGUAAACUGCUUUUGUACGAGGGUAAACUCAGAUACGCGUAUCUGUCUGAAAGUAUCUUCCGAAUACGGAUCGGCUAACUCCGUGCCAGCAGCCGCGGUAAUACGGAGGAUUCAAGCGUUAUCCGGAUUUAUUGGGUUUAAAGGGUGCGUAGGCGGUCGGAUAAGUUAGAGGUGAAAUCCCGAGGCGAAACUUCGGAAUUGCCUCUGAUACUGUUAGGCUAGAGAGUAGUUGCGGUAGGCGGAAUGUAUGGUGUAGCGGUGAAAUGCUUAGAGAUCAUACAGAACACCGAUUGCGAAGGCAGCUUACCAAGCUACGUCUGACGUUGAGGCACGAAAGCGUGGGGAGCAAACAGGAUUAGAUACCCCAGUAGUC
This 460-nucleotide ribosomal RNA is filed under the name uncultured bacterium. RNAcentral's name for it is "partial 16S ribosomal RNA". It matches the Rfam family "Bacterial small subunit ribosomal RNA", at positions 338 to 795 of the family's 1533-position model. The record is from RNAcentral.